CUGUAAAAAGUCAAUUAAGUAAUCUCUUGAUAUGGGAGAUGAGACGCUAAAGAAGGUACUAAAGAGAGAAAAAGAAGAAGGAUGAUAGUGGAAAAUAAGAUACGGAGAUCAAGAUUUUCAAUAUUAUACCAAAUGUCUAUCAUAACUUCAUGAGAAAUAUAACAUGAGAUUCAACAUUAUUACUAGUAUUAUGAACCUAAAGCACCUGUUCUACAGCUUUUGAGUUGCAUGACAUCCACUUAUCUGAGCAAAUCUCUUCGAGUUGUUUCGCGCGGAAUAUUGAUUUUCCCGUGACUGGGUAGCAACAAGAAGCAUAUUGUGACCACCUACUGAUACAAUUUCAGCUACUCUUUUUUGCACAACUUAAUCUUUUAUAUCCUUCAUUGUAAUCAGUUAAUUGCUCUAUAGCAAGUAUUGAAAUACCC
Non-coding RNA from Cinara cedri, 425 nucleotides. The record is from the annotation of a GenBank genome assembly. Lineage: Eukaryota; Metazoa; Arthropoda; Insecta; Hemiptera; Aphididae.